Long non-coding RNA from Parambassis ranga (Indian glassy fish), 1021 nucleotides. Lineage: Eukaryota; Metazoa; Chordata; Actinopteri; Ambassidae. The record is from Ensembl.
GGUGUGUGUUUUUAACGGCGCUUCGUUUUUGAAUUGGGUCUGGUUAUCUCCCUUCUGUUAGCGCGAGCUCUCUCCGCCGCGGUGUUGGGGAGAGCGGUGGUGUGUGGGGAGGGGGGAGUCGACCAUGUCGUAUAAGACAUGAGAGCGUAUGUCUUACAAAGUCGCUCAUAUCUCAGGAAUGGUAAUGGCUAGAGGCGUUCUGUUUUUUUCCUCGAAAAGAGGACACUUCAGGCUUGUGCGUUGUAAAUGGGCUGUUCUAUGGGCAGGUCAGUGUCCAAUCAAAACUAUCGAGCGAUAUCACAAGGGGCUCAAAUAUCCAAUUGUAGAGCCUUUGUGCUCUGACAUAGUGUAUCAAAGAUGUCUUCUGAAGACGAGGAGUAGCUCCCCUGACUAGCUGGAUCGUCGACACGUCUGAAAAGCGGCUCUGAAUGCAAUAAUGGGGCAUAGCGGACCGUUAUCUUAGUCGGAAUAACACACAGGAUAACCUGCAACCCAGCAAAGUCCUUGUAACCACUUUUAAAGAUAAGACAGAAGUUGCUAAAAACAUUUUCCAUGUUAACAGUGCCAAGGAUCUCAUUGAUCAAAGCCUAGCCCAGCAAACUGGCUGUGUGCUUGACAGGUUGUUAAAGUAUAAUACUGAUUUCAUGGAAUACAUUGAUGUUGACAUGAAUGAGGAGGAACUGAAGGAUUUGGAUAGAUAUCACAUCUUUCUAUCAACACAAGGGACCCAAGUUGAAUGUGUGGAGGCAAAUCAAAAUCAGGCUCAACCACACACUGAAGGUGCAGGCGGUCAAUGGGAGACUGAACCUAGUGCUAGUGAAGCUUGUCAGAGUGGUCCACUGGAGAAAUGCCAAGGAGAAAAUGAUGGCGUGCACAGAUUUGAUGCAGCCAAUCUGGUGGUGCUAAUUAAUAACAAAGCCCCAAGUGUACUUGCCGAAUAUGAAAAAUCUGGAACGCUCUCUCUGGCAUCCAGAAAACUCCUUGUGAGAACAGGUGUCAGCGAUCUGGUUGAGCGACGGGG